Molecule: long non-coding RNA, 3427 nt
Organism: Ictalurus punctatus (channel catfish)
Lineage: Eukaryota; Metazoa; Chordata; Actinopteri; Siluriformes; Ictaluridae
Source: Ensembl
GGUGAAACCAAGAAGAAGAAGAGGCGGAAGCGGGUGCGUGGGACAGCGAGAGGAGAACACGUGCUUGAGAUAAAGAGAGAAAGGCUCGUGAAUUAUCAGAAAUCACUUUUCCUGUCUUUCCUUUUUUAUUUGACUGAAGCUGAGCACUUUUGGUUAAAAAAAAAGAAAAAGGAAAAAAAAAAAACCGUGAGCACAUAUUUUAUAUACAUACGGAAAUAGUAAUUAGGAGUUUCACAUAAAUAUAUAUGAACAUGAUACAUUUGAACACUGCUAGCCUAAACAUAUUCCUGCCAUGGAGAACACCACCACAUUGUCCUGCAGAAACAUUUCUGAUGGUGAUGGUUACACUUACAAAGUGCCGUCUUAUAUACCAUCUGCUCUACUGCAGGACGAGGACUGUGAGCAAGAGUGGAUAAAUAAGGCAAGGGAGUUUUUGUCAGAUGGACAUCAUCAUGCAAAUAAAACUGAGCACCCACUGGUUCGUAAUGAAACCAUAAAAAACAUCAAAGUCUCCGAAUGCAUCGAGCUUCGCCAUUCUGUGACCUGUCAUGGAUCGAGUCAAAAGUUUAUACACACUUACCAAGUGAUCAAUGACACCGCCCUGAGUUUUGAGCAGCAAUCCAAUAGCACCAACACCACCAUCAUCUCUGUCGUCGUUCCCCUUAUUCUGAUUGUAGUCCUGAUUGUAGGCCUGCACUACAUAAAAAGGUACAACAAGAAAAGAGAAGCCGUGUCAAAAGUAGUCAUAUCAAUGAAGAAGCUCAACCAGACCAAGCCAUGGAAUUUGGUUGUUGGUGUUGUCAGUGGUGUUGUGACUCCUGCCAGAGGGAACGCCACCACAUUGUCCUGCAGAAACAUUUCUGCUGGUGAUAUUUACACGUACCCAGUGCCGUCUUAUAUACCAUCUGCUGUACUGUGGAACAAGGACUGUGAGCAAGAGUGUUACAAUGAGGAAGGGGAGUUUUUGUCAGAUGGACGACAACAAGCAAAUAAAACUGAGCACCUACUGGUUCUUAAUGAAACCAUAAACAUCGCAGUCUCUGAAUGCAUCAAUCUUCACCAUUCUGUGACCUGUCAUGGAUCAAAUGAAAAGUUUAAACACACUUACCGAGUGAUCAAUGACACGAUCUCAAGCCAAGAUGUUCCUAAGCAGCAAACCGAUCGCACCACCACCAUCGUCUCUGUCGUCAUUCCGAUUGGACUCCUGCUGAUUGGACUCCUGAUUAGUGUCCUGAUAUGUCUCCACAAAAAACGAAGAUCAGACAUCCCACUGGAGGACAUUACAGCAAGAAACACGGAAGGUGAAGCUCAACUGAACACCUCAAAUACUGAAAACAUGGACCCUGGUGAUACGAGCGCUAACGGCGAUGUUCAAACUGAAGAAGCUCGACCACUCCAACCAUAUCCUUACAGUGUAAGAGUUAAACCUUUACUACUGUAUGUAGAUGAACAGGACUGAUGGGAAUGAAUAUUGCUAGAUGGAUGGAGAUGAUGUGAUGGAUAAGUACAUUAUUAUAUAAUUAGAAAGAUGAAUGUAUAAAUGUAAUGUAUGAAUGAUUUUCUAUAUUCUUUAAUUAUUUUAUUUCUUUACUGUGUUUUGUCUGUCAGUGAUGUGUGCAGAGUCGUCGAGAGCGAGUGAGGAUUACGGUUCGGCUUCAGAACUUCUCUCCAGUCUGCUUCUGCCUUUUCUUCAGUCGCACUUUCCCUACACUUUUGCAUCUGGGACACUUUGAAAGUAAAAUUAAGUAGUUAAACUGAGACCGUGGUAUUAUAGGGCUCUACAUAAAAGUGCCAAAUUUUUAAUCAUGACAAAGCAGAUCAAAUUUUUAUACUUUAAUAGUGUUUUGGUGUAAAAAAUAUAUUUUCAUAUAUAUUACUUGCUAUAAAAAUAACAUUUAUAAGAACUAAUUUUUGCCAAAGAAAGGGAAGCUCAAACCAAAGAACCCCAAGAAAAAAAAAAAAACACUUUUCUGCACUUUAAAACACUGCACAUCCUUCUGCACUUUUGUUAUGCUCUACCCUUUUAACUGUGACGAUAGCUGGGGCUGGGCAGCUUCGAGUUGUCAACACUCACCUGAUUGCGCUCCUGGUUUUGACUGCUUCAUCCGAUCCGUGUUUUACUCUGCUAUUUCCGGUAUUGAACUGUGCCAGUUGUGACUAUGAACUUGAUCUUUGCCUUGAUUUUUGUUGGCUACGUAGCUACUGUGUGUGGGAGGCUGCACCAGAACAUCUCUACUACCCUACUACACAGUAGAUGAAAAGCAGUACACCAAAGGAGGAGCAUCUCAGAAUUCUCAGCAUUCAUACAACAGUAUUUAAGAAAUCCCCAGAUGACCUACUGCUUCCCCCGAGAUUCUGCAGUGUGGAAUAACUGGACACUGUGCUAUCCCAUAAUGCAACGUGGCAUGGAAGAGCUGUCAGAAUCAAACCUGGCGCAUCGGCUUUUUAAGCUGUAGGUCACAUGACUAUGCCAACCUGGUGGCUGUAGUGCUUAUAAGCCCUUUCCUUAACUUGCACUGUGGGGCCAAACCUUAGACUGGGUUGUCAUCAACACUACUCUACGUCAUUGAAUCAACGCUAUAGAGAGCACAGCUGGUGGCUUCAUCAGCAGCCCAGUGCUUGUUCCUUUUUAUUUUCUCAUUGUGAUUGACCUUUGCUAUCUCCUUUAUUUUUUAUGUCUGUAAUUUUUUUUGUGCAUGUGUAAAUUUGUUAGCAUUCUUUAUAUACUGUUACCAGGUGUAGGGUUCAGCUGCCAUUUCUUUCUGGGUUUUGUCUGUUUUAUUUUAUUUUUAUUUAUUUUAUAUUACCAAUAUUGCACAAGUAUGUGUGUAUGUAAUUCAUAAACCGAAGUAUUCUUAGUAGUCUUUUUUUCUUUUUCUUUAGCCAUCCAUCUUUUAUCCCAGUCAAACCUAUCCUGUUAUCUUCAACCCUAGACUGGGGUGCAUCACUGUCCUCCAUUCCAGAAAAUCUGAGACAGCAACAAAAGAGAGACAAUUUUUAGAAAGUAACAAGUCUGUUUUUACAGAAGGAAGGGAAUUGGUGGCGCAACCUAUCAUAACCCUGUAACAGGAAGUCUUAUUUCUGCCCCCAUAAUGGUGAAAUUUAACUUGGCUCAGGAGCAGAUCGAGUGGAAAGUAAAGUGCACAUGUCUCAGUGCUUCUGAUAUUUUAACAAAAAUAUAUUUGGACGCUCAAUUCGUUACCCCACUCUCACUAAUAAACUCUCUCUGUGUGUGUGUAUGUGUGAGAGCAAGAGAGAGAUUGAUAACACCUGUCUGUUCAGAUCUGUGACACAAGUUAGUAAGAAAAUAAAGUUGAUAAUAAGUAAGCAAGAGGGAGGUUUCAUACUUGACCAAAAUUGAGGGUUUAAAAUAGAGCUUUUUCUGGAAUAUUUCUCAAACCCACUUCAGCAUUCCAGUAAACAUGCA